GAUGAAGAACGCAGUGAAAUGCGAUAAUUAAUGUGAAUUGCAGAAUUCAGUGAAUCAUCGAGUCUUUGAACGCACAUUGCGCCCCCUGGUAUUCCGGGGGGCAUGCCUGUCCGAGCGUCAUUGCUGCCCUCAAGCACGGCUUGUGUGUUGGGCUUCCGUCCCUGGCAACGGGGACGGGCCCAAAAGGCAGUGGCGGCACCAUGUCUGGUCCUCGAGCGUAUGGGGCUUUGUCACCCGCUCCCGUAGGUCCAGCUGGCAGCUAGCCUCGCAGCCAAUCUUUUUAACCAGGUUGACCUCGGAUCAGGUAGGGAUACCCGCUGAACUUAAGCAUAUCAAUAAGCGGAGGA
RNAcentral lists this unclassified non-coding RNA (347 nucleotides) under soil metagenome. RNAcentral's name for it is "partial contains 5.8S ribosomal RNA, internal transcribed spacer 2, and large subunit ribosomal RNA". The stretch from base 1 to 120 matches the Rfam family "5.8S ribosomal RNA", at positions 35 to 154 of the family's 154-position model. The record is from RNAcentral.